Molecule: ribosomal RNA, 292 nt
Filed under: uncultured bacterium
Lineage: Bacteria
Description: partial 16S ribosomal RNA
Rfam family: Bacterial small subunit ribosomal RNA
Source: RNAcentral
GUGUCAGCCGCCGCGGUAAUACGAAGGGGGCUAGCGUUGUUCGGAAUGACUGGGCGUAAAGGGUGUGUAGGCGGUUAUACGCGUCAGAUGUGAAAUCCCCGGGCUUAACCUGGGAAUGGCAUUUGAUACGGUAUAGCUAGAGAUUGGUAGAGGGUAGAGGAAUUGCGAGUGUAGAGGUGAAAUGCGUAGAUAUCUGCAGGAACACCCGUGGCGAAAGCGGCGAGCUGGAUCACUACUGACGCUGAGGAACGAAAGCUAGGGGAGCAAACAGGAUUAGAAACCCGCGUAGUCC